GAUGAACGCUAGCUACAGGCUUAACACAUGCAAGUCGAGGGGAAACGACAUCGAAAGCUUGCUUUUGAUGGGCGUCGACCGGCGCACGGGUGAGUAACGCGUAUCCAACCUGCCCAUCACUUGGGAAUAACCUUGCGAAAGUAAGACUAAUACCCAAUGACAUCCCACGAAGACAUCUGAAUGGGAUUAAAGAUUUAUCGGUGAUGGAUGGGGAUGCGUCUGAUUAGCUGGUUGGUGGGGUAACGGCCCACCAAGGCAACGUUCAGUAGGGGUUCUGAGAGGAAGGCACACUACAUCGGAACUGCGGUACAGACUAAACUCGGACGGAGGGCAGCAGUGUGGUAGAUUGGUCAAGGAGCGAUGGCCUAAACCAGCCAAGUAUCGUGCAGGAUGACGGCCCUAGGGGUGGUAAACUGCUUGUAUAAGGGAAUAAUGUGGUUCUCGUGAGACGUUUUGCAGGUACCUUAUGAAUAAGGACCGGCUAAUUCCGUG
Molecule: ribosomal RNA, 492 nt
Filed under: uncultured bacterium
Lineage: Bacteria
Description: partial 16S ribosomal RNA
Rfam family: Bacterial small subunit ribosomal RNA
Source: RNAcentral